AUGCUCAGUUUGGAAGCACAUAUACUAAAAUUGGAAGAAAUUAGAGAUUAGCAUGGCCUGAUACAAGGAUGACCUACUAACUGGUAAAGCAUUUCAUAUUUUA
This is a small nuclear RNA of Dipodomys ordii (Ord's kangaroo rat), 103 nucleotides long. NCBI's taxonomy places the organism in Eukaryota, Metazoa, Chordata, Mammalia, Rodentia, Heteromyidae. The record is from Ensembl.